ACGGGAAAACUUACCAGAACCAGACAUGGCUAGGAUUCACAUGCGAUUUUUUUCUGAUGAUUUCAUGGGUGGUGGUGCAUGGCCGUUCUUAGUUAGUGGAGUGAUCUGUCUGGUUGAUUCCGAUAACGAACGAGAUUUUAUCCUUCUUAAUAGAGUAUUGCAAACAUCUGCAGUCUUCUUCUUAGAGGAACUAUGCGGAAUUUUUACCGUAAGGAAGUUGGGUCAUAA
This 228-nucleotide ribosomal RNA is filed under the name uncultured marine eukaryote. RNAcentral describes it as "partial 18S ribosomal RNA". It matches the Rfam family "Eukaryotic small subunit ribosomal RNA", at positions 1205 to 1456 of the family's 1831-position model. The record is from RNAcentral.